This 472-nucleotide ribosomal RNA is filed under the name uncultured bacterium. RNAcentral's name for it is "bacterial SSU rRNA". It matches the Rfam family "Bacterial small subunit ribosomal RNA", at positions 355 to 825 of the family's 1533-position model. The record is from RNAcentral.
UGGGGAAUAUUGGACAAUGGGCGAAAGCCUGAUCCAGCCAUGCCGCGUGUGUGAAGAAGGUCUUCGGAUUGUAAAGCACUUUAAGUUGGGAGGAAGGGCAGUUACCUAAUACGUAUCUGUUUUGACGUUACCGACAGAAUAAGCACCGGCUAACUCUGUGCCAGCAGCCGCGGUAAUACAGAGGGUGCAAGCGUUAAUCGGAAUUACUGGGCGUAAAGCGCGCGUAGGUGGUUUGUUAAGUUGGAUGUGAAGUCCCCGGGCUCAACCUGGGAACUGCAUUCAAAACUGACAAGCUAGAGUAUGGUAGAGGGUGGUGGAAUUUCCUGUGUAGCGGUGAAAUGCGUAGAUAUAGGAAGGAACACCAGUGGCGAAGGCGACCACCUGGACUGAUACUGACACUGAGGUGCGAAAGCGUGGGGAGCAAACAGGAUUAGAUACCCCUGUAGUCCCUGAGCGGGCUGGCAAGGCGCAU